Dama dama (fallow deer) is the source of this 16761-nucleotide long non-coding RNA. RefSeq lists it as uncharacterized. The transcript has 3 exons. The record is from RefSeq and is a predicted model, not a curated record. Lineage: Eukaryota; Metazoa; Chordata; Mammalia; Artiodactyla; Cervidae.
GCAAAUGUCAUUAUUUCAUUCUUCCUAAUAGUUGAUUACUAUUCCACUGUAUAUAUGUACCACUUCUUUAUACAUUCCUGUGUCAAAGGACAUUUAGGUUAUUUUCAUGUCUUGGCUCUGUCUCUUCAUUCUUCCUGGAGUUAUUUCUCCACUGAUCUCUAGUAGCAUAUUGGGCACCUGCUGACCCGGGGAAUUCAUCUUUCAGUGUCCUAUCUUUUUGCCUUUUCAUACUGUUCAUGGGGUUCUCAAGGCAAGAGUACUGCUGUGGUUUGUGCUCUCUUCUCCAGUGGACAUUUUGUCAUAACUCUCCACUAUGACCUGUCCGUCUUGGGUGGCCCUACACAGCAUGGCUCACAGUUUCAUUGAGUUAGACAAGGCUGUGGUCAUGUGAUCAGAUUGGUUAGUUUUCUGUGAUUGUGGUUUUCCUUCUCUCUGCCUUCUGAUGGAGAAGGAUAAGAGGCUUUUGGAAGCUUCCUGAUGGAAGAGACUGACUGAGGGGGAAACUGGUUCUUGUUCUGUUGGGUGGAGCCAUGCUCAAUAAAUCUUUAAUCCAUUUUUCUGUUGAUGGGUGGGGCUGUGUUCCCUCCUGUUGUUUAACCUGAGGCCGACCUAUAGUGGAGGUAAUGAAGAUAAUGGCGACCUUCAAAAGGCCCCAUGCACACUCUGCUGCACUCAGUGCCCCUGACCCUGCAGCAGGCCACCGCCAACCCACGCCUUUGCUGGGCACUCCUAGACACUCACAGGCAAGUCUGGGUCAGUCUCUUGUGGGGUCACUGCUCCUUUCUCCUGGGUCCUGAUGCACACAAGGUUUUGUUUGUGCCCUUCAAGAGUCUGUUUCCCAGGCCUGUGUGAGUUCUGGAGUCAAAGCAAAAACAAUACCGAGUUGUGGAUGUGACUGGUGUUUGAAGUCAAGUCUGAUGCUGUAAAGAGCAAUAUUGUAUGGAACCUGGAAUAUUAGGUCCAUGAAUCAAGGCAAAUUGGAAGUGGUCAAACAGGAGAUGGCAAGAGUGAACAGUGACAUUUUAGGAAUCAGAGAACAAAUAUGAACUGGAAUGGGUGAAUUUAACUCAGAUGACCAUUCUAUUUACUACUGUGGGCAAGAAUCCCUUAGAAGAAAUGUAGCAGCCAUCAUAGUCAACAAAAGAGUCCAAACUGCAGUACUUGGAUGCAAUCUCAAAAGCGACAGAAUGACCUCUGUUCGUUUCCAAGGCAAACCAUUCAAUUUCACAGUAAUCCUAGUCUAUGCCCCAACCAGCAAUGCUGAAGAAGCUGAAGUUGAACAGUUCUAUGAAGACCUACAAGACCUUCUAGGAUUAACACCCAAAAAAGAUGUGCUUUUCAUUAUAGGGGACUGGAAUGCAAGGAUAGGAAGUCAAGAGAUACCAGGAGUAACAGGCAAAUUUGGCCUUGGAGUACAGAAUGAAGAAGGGCAAAGCCUAACAGUUUUGCCAAGAGAAUGCACUGGUCAUAGCAAACACCCUCUUCCAGCAACACAAGAGAAGACUCUACACGUGGACAUCACCAGAUGGUCAAUAACAAAAUCAGAUUUAUUAUAUUCUUUGCAGCCAAAGAUGGAGAAUCUCUAUACACUCAGCAAAAAUAAGACGGGGAGCUGACUGUGGCUCAGAUCAUGAACUCCUUAUUGCCAAAUUCAGACUUUAACUGAAGAAAGUAGGGAAAACCACUAGACCAUUCAGGUACAACCUAAAUCAAAUUCCUUAUGAUUAUACAGUAGAAGUGAUAAAUAGAUUGAAGGGAUUAGAUCGGACAGACGGAGUGCCUGAAGAACUAUGGACAGAGGUUCAUGACAUUGUACAGGAGGCAGUGAUCAAAACCAUCCCCAAGAAAAGAAAUGCAAAAAGAAAAAAGGGUUGUCUGAGGAGUCCUUACAAAUAGCUGUGAAAAGAAGAGAAGAGAAAGGCAAAGAGAAAAAGAAAGAUAUACCCAUUUGAAUGUACAGUUCCAAAGAAUAGCAAGGAGAGAUAAGAAAGCCUUCCUUAGUGAGGAGUGCAAAGAAAUAGAGGAAAAGAAUAGAAUGGGAAAGACUAGAGAUCUCUUCAAGAAAAUUAGAGAUACCAAGGGAACAUUUCAUACAAAAAUGGGCACAAUGAAGGACAGAAAUGUUAUGGACCUAACAGAAGCAGACGAUAUUAAGAAGAGGUGGCAAGAAUACACAGAAGAACUAUACAAAAAAGAUCAUCAUGACCCAGAUAACCAUAAUUGUGUGAUCACUCAUCUAGAGCCAGACAUCCUGGAGUGCAAAGUCAAGUGGGUCUUAGGAAGCAUCACUACAAACAAAGCUAGUGGAGGUGAUGGAAUUCCAGUUGAGCUAUUUCAAAUCCUAAAAGAUGAUGCUAUGAAAGUGCUGCACUCAAUAGGCCAGCAAAUUUGAAAAACUCAGCAGUAGCCACAGGACGGGAAAAGGUCAGUUUUCAUUCCAAUCCCAAAGAAAGGCAAUGCCAAAGAAUGCUCAAACUACCGCACAAUUGCACUUAUCUCACAUGCUAGCAAAGUAAUGCUCACAAUUCUCAAAGUCAGGCUUCAACAGUACAUGAACCAUGAACUUCCAUAUAUUCAAGCUGGAUUUAGAAAAGGCAGAGGAACCAGAGAUCAAAUUGCCAACAUCUGUUGGAUCAUCAAAAAAGCAAGAGUUCCAGAAAAACAUCUACUUCUGCUUUAUUGACUGUGCCAAAGCCUUUGACUGUGUGGAUCACCACAAACUGUGGAAAAUUCUUCAAGAGAUGGGAAUACCAGACCAGACCACCUGUGCUGCGUCCUGAGAAAUCUGUAUCUAGGUCAAGAGGCAACAGUUAGAACUGGACAUGGAACAACAGACUGGUUCCAUAUCGGGAAAGAAGUACAUCAAGGCUGUAUACUGUCACCCUGCUUAUUUAACUUAUAUGCAGAUUACAUCAUGAGAAAUGCUGGACUGGAUGAAGCACAAGCUGGAAUCAAGAUUUCCGGGAGCAGUAUCAAUAACCUCAAAUAUGCAGGUGACACCACCUUUAUGGCAGAAAUUGAAGAAGAACUAAAGACCCUCUUGAUGAAAGUGAAAGCGAAGAGUGAAAAAGUUAGCUUGAAACUCAACACUCAGAAAACUAAGAUCAUGGCAUCUGGUCCCAUCACUUCAUGGCAAAUAGAUGGGGAAACAAUGGAAACAGUGACAGACUUUAUUUUGGGGGGCUCCAAAAUCACUGCAGAUGGUGACUGCACCCAUGAAAUUAAGAUGCUUGCUCCUUGGAAGAAAAGCUAUGACCAACCUGACAGCCUAUUAAAAAGCAGAGACAUUACUUUGCCAACAAAGGUCCAUAUAGUCAAAGCUAUAAUUUUUCCAGUAGUCAUGUACAGAUGUGAGAGUUGGACCAUAAAGAAGGCUGAGUGCUGAAGAAUUGAUGCUUUUGAACUGUGGUGUUGGAGAAGACUGUUGAGAGUCCCUUGGACAGCAAGCAGAUCUAACCAGUCCAUCCUAAAGGAAAUCAGUCCUAUCAGUCCUAAAUAUUCAUUGGAAGGACUAAUGCUGAAGCUGAGCCUCCAAUACUUUGGCCACCUGAUGUGAAGAAUUAACUCGUUGGAAAAGACUCCUAUGGUGGGUAAGAUUGAAGGCGGGAGGAGAAGGGGAUGGCAGAGGAUGAGAUGGCUGGAUGGCAUCACUGACCCAAUGGACAUGAGUUUGAGUAAACUCCAGGGUUGGUGAUGGACAAGGAGGCCUGGCAUGCUGAAGUCCAUGGGGUCACAAAGAGUCGGAUAUGACUGAGCUACUGAAAUGAACUGAACUGAAUCCCUUAUCAUUUGCAAAUAUUUUGUGUUAAGAAUUUUUGCAUUUUUAUUUGUCAGGGAUAUCAGCCUGGAGUUUUCUUCCUUAGAGUGUCCUUUUCUGGCUUUGGUACCACAUUAUGCUAGCCUCAUAAAAUGACUUUUCGAGUGUUCCUUCCACUUUCAUCUUUUGGAACAAUUUGAGAAGGAUUGGCAUUAAUUCUUCUUUAAAUGCUUGGUAAAAUGUGCUUAGUCGCUCAAGUUGUAUCUGACUCUUUGCGACCCCAUGGGCUGUAGUCUGUCAGGCUCCUCUGUCCACCGGGAUUCUCCAGACAAGAAUACUGGAGUGGGUUGCCAUGCCCUCCUUCAGGGUAUCUUCCCAACCCAGGAAUAGAACCCAGGUGUCCUGUAUUACAGGCAGAUUCUUUACCAUCUGCACCACCAAGGAAGCCCAGAAUUUACAAGAGAAGCGAUUUGGUCUAUAGCUUUUCUUACUGGGAGGUUUUCGAUUAUUGAUUCAAUCUCCUUUCUCAUAGUUCAUUUGUUUGGAUUUUCUAUUUUUUCAUGAUACAGUCUUGUUAAUUUGUAUGUUUCUGAGUGUUUUUUGUUCUUUUUUAACUGAUGGAUGUUUGAAGUUUUUUUUCACACAAAUCCUGAGUUUUAUUGGGGAGCAUGAUUUUGUAAACAUACUUUUUUAUAUAAGUAAGGUUAUGAGAAAAACAAGUUUUAAAGAACUUUGCUAUUGUUAUAAAUUAUAUCAUCUGCUCGCUUACGGACAAACUUUCCCUAAAUGAUUCAGGUGAUUUUUUUUUUUUUUUAGUUCUACCAGUUUAUUUCUAGCAACCCAUCUCCCUCCACCCUCCUCAGGCAUGCGUACUCAGUCAUGUAACCCCAUGGACUACAGCCUACCAGGCUCCUAUGUCCCUGGACUUUUCCAGGCAAGAAUACUGGAGUAGGCUGCCAUUUACUUCUUCACAAGUGAUUUGUUUUUAAUACUUCUGACUUUUACAUCUGAUUUUUUUCUAUUGGUGUAUAACUGAUUCAAAAUGUUGUUUUAGUUUCAAAUGUACAGCAAAGUGAAUAAGUUAUAUAUAAACACAUAUCACCACCCUUUUUUAGAUCUUCUCCCCAUAUAGACCAUUUAUAUAGAGUGUUGCGUAGAGUUCCGUGCUACACGGUAGGUCUUAUUAGUUACCUAUUUUAUAUAUGGUAGUUUGACUGUCAAUCCCAGUCUCCCAAUUUAUCCAUUUCUUGCCCCUUAUCCCCUAGUAACUAUAAGUUUGUUUGCUACAUCUGUGACUCUAAUUCUGUUUUGUAAAUAGGCUCAUUCAUACCCAUUUAAUUUAAAGAUUCUGCAUACAAGCAAUAUCACAUGAUGUGUGUCUUUCUCUGUAUGACUUAUGUCACUUGGUAUGACAGUCUGUAGGUCCAUCCAUGUUGCUGCAAAUGUAAUUAUUUAAUUAUUUUUUAGCUGCAUAAUAUUCCGUUGUCUAUCGGUACCAUAUCUUCUUUAUCCAUUCCUCUGCUGAUGAAUAGGUAGAUGGCCUCCACGUCCUGGCUAUUGUAAAUAGUGUUGCAAUGAACAAAGUGCAUGUAUCUUUUAAAAUUAUGGUUUCCUUCUGGUAUAUGCUUAGGAAUGGGAUUGCUGGGUCAUAUGUAGUUCUAUUUGUAAGGAACUCCAUGCUGUUCUCAAUAGUGGCUGUGCCAGUUUACACUCCCACCAACUGGGUGAGAGGGCUGCCUUUCCUCCAUACCCUCUCUAGCAUUUACUGUUUGUAGAUCUUUUGAUGAUGGCCAUUCUGACCAGUGUGAGGUGAUACCUCAUUGUAGCUUUUGAUUUGUGUUUAUCUAAUAAAUAGUAAGUGAUGUUGAGCAUCUUUUCAUGUGCUUCUUGGCCACCUAUUAUGUCUUUGAAGAAAUGUCUGUUUAGAUGUUCUGCCCGUUUUUAAAUUAUUUUUUUUUUAAUAUUGAGCUGUAUGAGUUGUUUCAAGGAUUAAUCUUUUGUCAGUUGCUUCAUUUGCAACUAUUUUCUCCCAUCCUGAGGGUUGUCUUUUUGUUUUAUGGUUUCCUUUGCUGUGUAAAUGCUUUUAAAAGUUGAAUUAGAUCCCAUAUAUUUUUGUUUUUGUUUUCAUGACUCUAGAAGGUAGGUCAAAAAAAGGAUCUUGCUCUGAUUUAUGUUGAAGAGUGUUCUGCCUGUGUUUUUCUCAAAGAGUUCUAUAAUGUCCUGUUUCUAAGCGUUUAUCCAUUUCUUUUAGAUUAUCCAAUUUGUAGAUAUGUGAUUGUUCCCAAUAGUCUCUUAGGAUCCUUUGUAUUUCUGUGGUAUCCACUGUAAUGUUUCCUCUUUUUCAUUUAUAAUAUUAUCUAUUUCAGUCUUUUUCUUAAUCUGGCUGAAAGUUUGUCAGUUUUAUCUUUCAAAAAACCAGCUUUUAAUUUCAUUGAUCGUUUCUGUACUUUUCCUGGUCUCCAUUUCAUUUAUUUAUGUUAUCCCCUUCCUUCUGCUAAACGUGGGCUGUUUCUUUUCUAGUUCCUUAAGGGAUAAAGUUAGGCUGCUUGAGAUCUCUUUUUUAAAUGUAGACAUUUAUUGCUAUAACAUUUUCUUAAAACUGCUCUUGCUGUAUCCCAUAGGUUUUGGUAUGUUGUGUUUUGUGUUACAUUCAAGGUGGGUUUUUAAUUUUCUUUUUGGUUUCUUCUGUGACCCAUUGUUUGUUUAGGAGUAUGUUGUUGGAUUUCCAGUUAUUUGUGAAAAUUUCAGCUUUCUUCUUGUUAUUGAUUUCUAGUUUUAUACCAUUGUGGUUGGGAAAGAUAUGAUUUCCAUCUUAAAUUUGCCACGACUUGUUUGCCAGGUCAUAAGACCUCUCAUGUGACCUGUUGUGGAGAAUGUUCUGUGUGCAUUUAAGAAGAAUGUGUAUUCAGUCUGUUGGAUGGAAUGUUCUAUAUGUAUCUGUUUGAUUAAUUGGAUCUGAAGUAUGGUUCAAAAAAACCCGAAUGUUUCUUUGGUUUUCUGUCUAGAUCUAUCUUUUGUUAAAAGUGGAACAUUGAAGUCCUCAUCUAUUACUGUAUCGUUGUCUAUUUCUCCUUUCAGAUUUUUGUUAAUAUAGCAAUCCCUGCUCGCUUGUGGUUUUCACUUGCAUGAGUAUCUUUUCCUACACCUUCACUCUGAGCCUGUGUGUGUCCUUAAAACUGAAGUGAGUCUCUUGUAGGCAGCAUACAGUUGAGUCUUGUUUUUUUAAUCCCACCAGCCACUCUUUGUUUUUAUUUGAGAAUUCAAAGAUUCAUAUUUGAAGAAGUUAUUGAGAGGUAAAGACUAACUAAUGCCAUCUUUUUGUUUUCUGGCUGUUUUGAGGUCAUUUGUUACUUUCUUCAUCUAUUGCUACAUACCUUUGUGAGAUGUGAGAUGACUUUCCAUAGUGAUAUGUUUUAAUCUGGGCUUCCCCUGUGGAUCAGAUGGUAAAGAAUCCUCCUGCAAUGCAGGAGACCCAGGUUCAAUCCCUGGGUCAGGAAGAUCCCCUUCAGGAGGAAGUGGCAACCCACUCCAGUAUUCUUGCCUGGAAAUUCCAUGGACAGAGGAGCUUGGUGGGCCACAGUCCAUGGGGUCACAAAGAGUUGGACAUGGCUGAAUGACUAACACAACAAUGCUUUAAUUUCCUUCUCUUUAUGAAUCAACUGUAGGCCUUUGCUUUGUUAUUACCAUGAGGCUUACAUAAAGUAACUUAUAGAUUUAUUAGUCUACUUUAGGCUGAUAAUUUGAGUGCAAAACCCUUUUACUUUCUCUAUGUUUUUAUGUCAAAUUUACAUAUAUUAUGUAUUCAUCAACAAAUUACUAUAGCUAUAACUUUUUAAAAAUACUUUUGUCAUGUAGCUUUUAUACUAGCAUUAAAUAACACACCACCAUAUUAGAGUAUUCUGAAUCUAACUAUAUACUUCUCUUGACCAGUAUUCUGUGUAUUUUUAUAUGUUUUCAGGUUACUAAUUGGCAUCCUUCAUUUCAGCUUGAAAAAUUCCUUUCAGCAUUUUCUGUAAGUAAAGUCUAGUGGUGGUAAACUUCCUCAGUUUUUCUUUGUUAGGCAAAGUAUCUCACCUUCAUUUCUGAAGGAAAAAAUUUCAUAGGUAAAGUAUUCUUGGUUGGCAGUUUUUCUUCCUUAGUACUUGAAUAUAUUAUCCUAUUCUCUUAUGGCUUAUAAGGUCUCUACUGAGAAAUCUGCUGAUUUCCUGACGGGCGUUCCCUUUUAUGAGACUUUUUUUUUCUCUUGCUGCUCUAAAAUUUUUUAUUUUAGACAAUUUUCAAUGUAUCUUGGGAAGAUCAUUUUAGAUUGAAAUUUUGGCAUAACCUAUUAGUUUCAAGAACUUGGAAGUCCAAAUUUCUCCCCAGUUUGAGAAAUUCUCAGCCAUUAUUUCUAAGUAAUUUUUCUACCUAUUUCUCCAAGUCCUCUCCUUCUAUAACUCCAGUGAUACAUACAGUGUUUCUCUUACUGGUGUCCCCUAAGUCCUAUAAGUGUUCUUCCGUCCUUUUCAUUCUUUUUUCUUUCUGCUUCUCUGAUUAGAUAAUUUCAAUUGAUCUGUCUCAUUGAUUCUUUGUCUUGUUCAAGUCUGAUAAUGAAGGUCUCUGUUGAAUUUCUCAAUUCAGUCAUUGUAUCCUUCAGCUCCAAAAUUUUCUUUUUCAGAUUUUCUAUUCUUUUAUGUACAUCUUAAUUGUUUUUAUACUGUUUUCCAGAUACCAUUCAAUUGUUUGCUCUCUUAUAGCUCUCCAAGUAUCUUUAGACAAUUAUUUUAAAUUCUUUAUCAAGAAAUUCCUGGGUCUCCAUUUCUUUAGGGCUAGUUACUUGAAAUUUACUAGAUUCCUUGGAUGGGGACAUAUUUCCGUGAUUCUGUGUGAUCCCUGUCGUCUCUCCUAGGUGUCUUGUGCCUUUGAUGAAGCAGUCACCUCCUCUUCCAGACAUUAUGGAUUGAUUUUGGUAAGUGAAGACUUUCACACCUGGAAGGGUUGGGGGGGAGCAGAACACACUGUGACCCCAGGUCAGGGGUGCAGGGUAACAAGGUCAUGUGAUGGCAUUGGGUCCAGGAGCGGGGCAGGGUCAUGGUGGUGAUCUCUUUGGUUCAGGUUGCCGGCAUCUAUAGCAUCAACAACUGAGUGGUCCUUGAUGAAUGCUGCAGCGAGUCCACAAAGGCUGCAGUGGCUGUUGGGGUCCUUAGCAGCACCCCUAGGUCCAAGGAGCAGGACCGGUGGUGGCGAGUGGAAGCAGUGGUGUACACGCACACACCUGUGGGGGUCAGCUCUAGACGCCUAUGUAGUGGCAGGGGCCAGUCGUAGACACACACCUAGUCUUGGGUGCCAGGGCAGGCAGAAAGGGCCAGGGCCCACUGUGAGCACCCUGGCAGCUGCAAGGGUCCCUGGAUGUCUGCAUGUUCUCCCAUGGCCGCACAGUCUUCCCUGGGUGUGUAUGCAGCUAGGGAGUUGCCUCCAGUAACAGGAAUCAAGCUGGCAGUGGACAAGUGCACAGCUGGAGGAGCUAGCCCCAAGUACACACACAGUGAUAGAGCAUCUAGGCUGCUGCCGUGUACUCACAUAGAGGCCUGGACCAGCUGCUGGUGAGGUCCCUGGGCUCUAGCAGGGGCCAGAGUGGGGCAGGCUGGGGAGAAAAUAGGAAGGGACUCGGGGGCUGAUGUCAGUGAAUGCAAAUGCCUGUGGAGUCCAUGGUGGUUGUGCUGUCUCUUGGUUUCUUCAGUGGUGAAAGCUGCUGGAAUAUCUGUGGGGCAGGUGGCUAGGCACUCCAGUUGCUCCUGCUAUGUGCCUGCUUCUGGGAGCCCCUGCUUUUUUUUCUUGUUCCUAGACACAUCUCUCAGUAUCUCAGCUUUGCCCGUCUCUGGGUAACGUGAAACUAAAGUGGAACCUUCAUGAGGUGACCCAAAAGGCUGGGGAAGCUGGUCACUCACCCCGCUCCCCCUUUCUUCUUUCUAGCUAGAAGCUCCCUCUUGGCGCUGAGCACUGCUGGCUUUGGGCAUAGGAAGAUGCAGAAAGAAUGAAGCUGUCUUCCCCUUUCUGUGGGGUUAUUCUCAGGUUUGAUGUUCAACUGCAUCGCUGAAGUUUAAGCAGACUCCACAGCUGUUUAUGCUCAUGGACAGAUGUCUACAUGUUGAUUUCUGUGGAAGAAUGGAGACUAGGGAUCCUGCACUGCAUUUUGGUGGCAUCGCCUCCAGUCCUGCAACUCAGGAACAGUCAGAUAGAAGAGACCACAUAGAGCAAGAUGCUGAAAGUUCUCACAAUGCAGACAAUGUACUGCUUUCCUGACAAAGAUAAAGCCUGUAAAACAAAGAAUGUUGCCUGCCUUCCAGUUCUACAGGUAUCAAGUCAUAAGCCAAUGCAGUCACUGAAAGGAAUGAAAGAAAUCAGCAGUUGCAGAAAUCAUGAAUGGACCCAGUGCAGACUUUUCCCCUUCAUCUGAACUCUCCAAGGCACUAGCAAGGGCCCUUGUGUCUGUCCACCUUCCUGGUGAGUCUAGACGAAUUUGGCUGAGUGUCUCUUGUCUUGCUUGACGAUCUUGAGUUUUAUUCAGUAGUAAGUAAGAAAGGUAACCGACUUUUCAUUUGUAAGAUAUUGAGAAAGUGCCCAGUGGUGCUUAAGUAGGAGGUUGAUCUGAUGUCUUUCCUCAAAUCAUCUUUGAUUUCCUGUUGUCUUUUCUGUUCUAUCUUAACAGAAUUUCUUGGAUAAAAGUGAAGACACCAUAUGAGAGCCUUCAGCUCCAAAGGUAAGGGACACAGCUCUUCCUGGCCAGUUACAACUUUCUCAGGCAACUGAGGAACUUGAGUUGUGGCAGAGGCAAGUCCUCAUAGUGUGCAGCAGUCUCGAGGGAAACCCACUCAUUAAUUUACAAAUUCAUUAACCCAGAGACACAUAUAUAAAAAUUGGCCAUUCAGUGCUCAGAGCACCCCCACCAGUUUUAGACUGCCAGCAGGAGAAAACAAGACACACAGAAGAGAUGAAACGACUCUAGGGUGACACUUUGAAGAAUUAAGCCCAUAAACCACACAUUGGCCCACCACAGUUUUCAAUAGUGAUUUUACUCUGAUAAACCAACUUUCAAAUGAGAAAGAGCCUCCUAAACAGAAGAAAAUGGGGUGUCAGAUGACCCCUGACUAAUACCCCAAAUUAGGUUUACAUAUGUAUAGAACUUAUACUUUUAAGUACUUAACUAGGAACUAAGGAAAUCCUCUCUGAAAUGGCCAAGGUGCAGCUCUUUUUGACAUUCCAAAACCCGUUUCUGCAUAAGCAGUUAGAGAAAGCCACCUUGAUGAAACAUAUUUUCAAAAUUCUAAGGGCAAAAACUCCUUCUAGGAGGAAUCUGCAUUUUUCUCCUUGCAUCUUUGAGAUAUACAGGUUCUACCAGAAUGCUCAAGAAUUCUUCCCUUACUCUUAUUUAAACCAUCUCUAAUUCCUGGGACUGAGGGGGGGAAAAUAGGCCUUUAAAAUCCAAGCAAGGGACUUCCCUGGUGGUCCACUGUAAGACUCUGAACUAUGAAUGCAGGGGGCCUGGGUUUGAUCCCCGGUUAGGGAACUAGAUCCCACAUGCCACAACUAAGAGUUCCUGUGCCACAAGUAAAGAUUCCACAUGCCAAAGUGAAGAUUGAAGACCCUGUGUGCUGCAGCUUAGAACCAGCACAGGCAAAUAAAUAAAUAAAUAUUCAACCCAAGUGACUUAAACUUAUUCCAACUGUUAUUUAUAAACUAGUGAGUUUUAUAUUGUAAUACUUGAUUCAUGACUAAGUUUUAAAAUGAAGCUAUGAGAUCUCUGGUUAUAUCUAUCUAUAUGUCUGUGUGUACAUUAUAGAUAAAUGUCUCUACUUCUGAAUGGUAUUGCCAAAAUUAAUUUGUAGAAGAGCUCUCUACUUAGUUGACUUAAAGGAAAUUAAACACCUACAUAAAGUCUCAAAAAUAUAGGAGAAAUUAAUCCAAAUGAAUUUCAGGUCACAUGAUCUGGUAAAUAUUUAGUUUUAAGUUAAUAUUCAGUACUAAACUUAGUUUAAGUUUGCUAGUUUAAUUAAUACAGACUCUUUAAAGUCAUCCACAUUAGGAGUAAUACUUGUACCGAGGUUUACUAAAAGUCAUCUAAGAUCUCAUUUCCAUUAUAAAAUUUGUCAGCAAGAAAAAUAACCUGGUAUAUUAUGGAAUUUUUAUGAGUAAAUUAACUGUAAAUGAGAUGACAGUUUUUAGGUCACUUUAGGAAUAAUUAUACUUUAUGGUCUGUUGUUAGUUGUUAAGUCAUGUGUGACUCUUUGCAACCCCAUGGGGUGUAGCCUGCGAGGCUCCUCUGUCCACGGGAUUUUCAAGGCAAGAAUACUAGAAUGAGUUGCCCUUUCCUUCUCCAGGGGAUCUUCCCAACCCAGGGAUUAAACCCACAUCUCCUGCAUUGGCAGGUGGAUUCUUUACUACUGAGCCACCAGAGAACCCUUGUUUUUUAUGGUAUGUUUACUGAAAAACCGCUUCUCCAAAUAUUUGGUUAUUUGAAACUUUAGAGUUUUGCUAAAUUAUGUUAAAUGAUGAAAGUUCAUUGAAUAUCUAAAUCAUUCCAAAAUAAAAUCAGAUACUGAAACAUUAAUUACUGAACAUAGAUUUCCCUGUACAGAGAAAAUAAAGAUAUUCAGGACUACUAAUAAAUACGCUUGGUGCCACAUGGAGACAUUUUCUAUAAGAAAGCACUUUUUUUUUUUUAAAGAAAUUACAAACAGUAUUCAUAAAUUUGUCAGUCUACAGAAUGCUAAAAGUUUAAAACUUUUAAACUUUUAAAACUGCUUAUUUCUUAGUUUUCACUAGAAAUUAAGAGUUGAGAAUUCUAGCUAAUAUAUGUAAUUAAAACUAAUAAAAUUAAUAAGAGAAACAUCUUUGUAUGCAAGGAAAAAAAACAAGCUAUAAGGAACAGAAAUGCAUUCUGUUAAGGGAAAAGAGAGUAAUUUGUCCUGAAGAAAGGUUAAAAAGAGAGAAAGAGAAAAAGAAGUAUGGAGGUUCUUUAAAAAAACAAAAAUAGAGCUAUCAUAUGAUCCAGCAACCCCACUCCUGGGUAUAUAUCAGAGAAAACCAUAACUCACAAAGAUACGUGCACCCCAAUGUUCAGUGCAGCACUAUUUACAACAGUCAGGACAUGGAAGCAAACUAAAUGUCCAUUGACAGAGAAUAGAUAAAAGGUGUGAGAUAUACACACACACACACAUACACACACACACACGAAUAUUACUUAGUCAUCAAAAAGAAUGAAUUUACGCCGUUUGCACCAACAUGGAUGGACCCAGAGAUUGUCACACUGAGUGAAGCAGUCAGACAAAGAAAAUAUCAUAUGAUAUUGCUUAUAUGUGGAAUCUAAAAAAUGGCACAAAUUAACUUAUUUACAAAAUAUCUUGAGUCAGAGAUACAGAAAACAAACCUAUGGUUACCAGUGGGGAAGAUAAAUCGGGAGAUUGGGAUCGACAUAUAAAUACUACUAUAUUUAAAAUAGGUAACUAUUAAUAAUAAGGACCUAGUGCACGGCACAGGAAACUCUACUCAAUACUCUGCAAUGACCUACAUGACAACAGAAUCUAAAAAAGAUUGCAUAUAUGUAUAACUGACUCACUUUGCUUACAGCAGAAACUAAUACCAUCUUGUAAAUCAACUACGCUCCAAUACCAUUUCUCAAAGAAAAAGAGAGGGAGAAAGUAUAGGAAGAAAUCUAAAGGUUAAAAAAGGAAGUCAUAGAAUGAUGUAAAAAGAAACAGAGAAAAGAGUUUUGUGCAUGGUCUGGACUGGCUAAGAUAAGAAUAAACUUAGCUGAGUUAAUGAAUUACAAUGUUAAAGGUAAGAUGGUGCAAAACUAGAAUUUGGCUCCCUGUUAAGAGGACAAAGUUUUCUUGGAGUUUUGGUAUAAUUUUGAUAACAGAUUUUGAAGUUUUUUUUACUUCUUAAGUAAUCUGUUGUAACUUUCUAUAUUUGCCUUUGAAUCUUUGUCACUUUGGUUAAGUGGCAAGUAUUAUUUCACAGUGACCUAUAAUUCUAUUUGACCAAGAGUUUUAAAAACUCUUGAUAUCUUUGACAAAAUUCCUCAUAUUGAUUUCUAAAUGAAGUUCUUUUGACCUGUAGAUAACUUUGGGAUGCUCCAGAGGGCCCCUGAAACAUUUUUGAGAGAAAUAUUAAACUAAUUGGGCUUAUUUGAUAUGUUAAAUUACAUGGCUAGUAUAAUCAAAUGAAAAUAAAUAAAAUUUAAUAUUCUAAUAGUGUGUAAAAAUGACCAAAUUUCCUUGACAAAUGCAUUAUAAUCAAGUCUUUAACUGCUUUUUGAAAGUCUUUUGUCAUCAAUAUACAAUUACUCUUUUACUCUGAUGGUUUACAAAAAUGCUUUAUCUCCAAGUAGACAUAUAGAAAGGGUUUUUUGACAAUCAUAGGUUUCUGGUAACUUUCAAAUCAUACUGCCUAACUGGGUAAGAAAUUAAAGAACAUGAAUGCAAAACCUGAUGGCUUCAUAAAACUGUAAACAGAGAAUCAAGAAUUAGUAACAUGGAACUGAAUGAACUGAUGAGGAUGGCUAUAACUUUUAAGUCUCUGAAAAAUUACUGCUGAUUCUUUUUAAUGUUUUGUUUUCCCAGAUUUGAGAAAACUUUUUCUCUUUCCUCUUAUGCUAAUUAUGAUUUAUAGCAGUUUGGUAAAUUAUACCUUUGUAAGCAGAAUUGAAAUAUUUAUCACUUCUCUGAUUUCUCCAGAAUUUGGAAACUCUUGGUGAGUAUUCUUAUUUUCAUGGCAAUAUAAUUAUUUGCACAAUUUCUAUAAGAAUCUGUUCUCUUUAUAACAGAAGAUAAUUGGAAACACUAGCUAUAUUACCAUAAAUUUGGAUGGGAUGUCAUAUUUGAGACUACACAAAAAUCAGACAUGGCCAGACAACUCCAAAGAUCUGAGGUGGCCUUAAUGGAACCAUAAAGCUCCUUUGAAAAACAACCUAGUAUUUUGCGUAUAGGAUUCCUAGAAGCCUUAUCAGGUGAAUAAGGGUGGCUACUUCCUGGCAGGUGCAUGGAUCUCAAGAUUUUUUGUGGACCUGAAGAGGAGAGGAACCUGCCCAAAUCUGUAGAUUUUGCAGGCAGAAUCUGAUGCCUAGUCCUUGACAUAGCUUUUCCGGCCUCAGGGACCUUUUAAAUGUUCAAUCUGAGAUUCCUUAUGAAGAGAUUCAGCAAAAGCAAUUUCAAAGAGCCUAUAUGAUCUUAAUUUGGCCAUAAUUGGGAGAAAUGAGGGUAAUUUUAGACAGAAAAAAUUUAUUUCAGUGAAUAUUAAUUUCUAGUGUUCUUAACUGUUUUUGUGGUUUAUAUUUACUGCCUAAGACUCAACUUCCUAUAUGGCUCCUUGUUAAUAUGUUGUAUUAUUAUAAGAUUUAAUUGAAUUAUUAAAAGGACAUUCUAAAUUUAUUUCUGAAGCUUACCACAGUAAUCUAUGUUUGCAUGAAGAUAGAUGCCCCAUGACCUGCAACCAGGAGAUUAUAUACUAGAAAGACAUCAUUCAAAGGACUCUCUCCAACCUAGAUAAAAGGACCCCACCAGGUAUUCAUGACUAGCUUAUACACAGUGAAACUAAAGGGAAAUGAUCCUUGGGUUUACAUUUCCCACUGAAAAGGAGCCCUGCACCAGACUGGUCUAUAGAGAGAGCUCCUGAUCGCAAAAUCCCCUUGAAACAACACUCAGAGGAGAAACUACAUCCUCACCAGGCCGAGAAGACAACAGCAGGAGUACACAGCAAUGUUAAAAUGCCAGACCAGACCCAUAUGAUCAUUUAUAGUGUUUUGUUGAUUUCUUGGACCUUUUGCAUACAAAUCAAUUUUUUUUAAUCAUGAACAAUAAUCCUAUACAAUUUAAAAAAUCAAUCCAAUUUUCAGACUUGUAGUCACUUACCUGUGUCCAGUACUUCUGGUUUACUUUGGUGGAUUUCUUACCUCCAAGGCUCUAACUAGAUGGCCCUUGGAAAAAUUUAUUUUAGAAGAAAGAAGUUAUAGGGCCACUAAUGAUAUUACUAGAUGGGAAUCCCUCACUUGGCUAAUCAAUCAUACUUUUUCUGACCCUGGCUAUAACAUGAAUUCUCUUUUAAAGUUAUUCAAGCUCAAUCAGGACAAUGAGCUAAAUUUCAAAGAAUGUAACUACCCACUUACUAGAAAAGACCCUCCCUCAAUUAUGGGAUGGAUUUAUACAGCUAACACUGGGCUACAAUCAUUUAAGUUUAAAGGCCUGCCUAUGUCGAGAACAAUUAAAUCAUAUUAAAGAUAACCAGUCAAAUAACAACAGAAAAUUAAGCUGAGUGCCUUAUGAACAAUGCCAACAUAUUAUUUCCCUUAAAUACAGCAAUUAGUAUGAAACAGACUGGGUCAGGUGACCAGAAAUACUGACUCCAACAAAUUUACCACAUAUACAAGCCUGAUGGAUCAAGAGAUCUGUAUUUCACUGGUCUGACCAUUUAGCAGCUAUUUCUGUGCCUUCAGUAGGAUUGGAAGAUGUAACCACCCAGAUCAAAGCCUUCACAAAAUUCACCCAACAGGCGUUAAAUGAUAGUAAUCAGGCUAUUAGCUUACUCAAUUUUGAGAUCUCUGUGAUGAAAAAAAAGCAGUAUUAUAAAACACAUGGCCCUCAAUAUCUUUAUAGCAUCUCACAGAGGCAGGCACCUACAGGUCGUAAUUCAAACCAAAUGCUGCAUCCUUAUGCCAGAUGAAUCCUCCAAUAUUACCCAUUUAAUGACUCACAUGAAUCUGAUUUCUGCCUUAAGUGAUCUACUUCCUGGUCUUGGUGGUCUACUAAGGAGCUAGUUUCGUUCUGGGAGCUCAUGCACAAAUCACUACUGUGGUCUUAUUAAUGUUAUUAGCUGUAUUACUUACAUCCUGCAUAAGGUGGCUGUUUCUUGCAUUACCCAACAUGUCACAAGAUCUUCGAGAAAACUAAUGAUGGCUCAACAUCUUGAGGCAACUGAUCAUGUAUACAUUCCUAUACAAGGGCUUCCCAGGUGGCUCAGUGGUAAAGAAU